This 888-nucleotide ribosomal RNA is filed under the name uncultured bacterium. Its description in RNAcentral is "bacterial SSU rRNA". It matches the Rfam family "Bacterial small subunit ribosomal RNA", at positions 51 to 931 of the family's 1533-position model. The record is from RNAcentral.
ACACAUGCAAGUCGAGGGGCAGCAUGGUCUUAGCUUGCUAAGACUGAUGGCGACCGGCGCACGGGUGAGUAACACGUAUCCAACCUGCCGUCUACUCUUGGACAGCCUUCUGAAAGGAAGAUUAAUACAAGAUGGCAUCAUGAGUCCGCAUGUUCACAUGAUUAAAGGUAUUCCGGUAGACGAUGGGGAUGCGUUCCAUUAGAUAGUAGGCGGGGUAACGGCCCACCUAGUCUUCGAUGGAUAGGGGUUCUGAGAGGAAGGUCCCCCACAUUGGAACUGAGACACGGUCCAAACUCCUACGGGAGGCAGCAGUGAGGAAUAUUGGUCAAUGGGCGAGAGCCUGAACCAGCCAAGUAGCGUGAAGGAUGACUGCCCUAUGGGUUGUAAACUUCUUUUAUAAAGGAAUAAAGUCGGGUAUGCAUACCCGUUUGCAUGUACUUUAUGAAUAAGGAUCGGCUAACUCCGUGCCAGCAGCCGCGGUAAUACGGAGGAUCCGAGCGUUAUCCGGAUUUAUUGGGUUUAAAGGGAGCGUAGAUGGAUGUUUAAGUCAGUUGUGAAAGUUUGCGGCUCAACCGUAAAAUUGCAGUUGAUACUGGAUAUCUUGAGUGCAGUUGAGGCAGGCGGAAUUCGUGGUGUAGCGGUGAAAUGCUUAGAUAUCACGAAGAACUCCGAUUGCGAAGGCAGCCUGCUAAGCUGCAACUGACAUUGAGGCUCGAAAGUGUGGGUAUCAAACAGGAUUAGAUACCCUGGUAGUCCACACGGUAAACGAUGAAUACUCGCUGUUUGCGAUAUACAGCAAGCGGCCAAGCGAAAGCGUUAAGUAUUCCACCUGGGGAGUACGCCGGCAACGGUGAAACUCAAAGGAAUUGACGGGGGCCCGCACAAGCG